Molecule: ribosomal RNA, 1475 nt
Filed under: metagenome
Description: bacterial SSU rRNA
Rfam family: Bacterial small subunit ribosomal RNA
Source: RNAcentral
AGAGUUUGAUCCUGGCUCAGGAUGAACGCUGGCGGCGUGUCUAAUACAUGCAAGUCGAACGGUCCGCAAGGAUAGUGGCGAACGGGUGAGUAACGCGUUGGUGACCUGCCCUGAAGAGGGGGAUACCGGAUCGAAAGGUCCGCUAAUACCGCAUAAUGUCUCGCUAGUUAGAGAGGCGAGAAGAAAGCCGAAAGGCGCUUUAGGAGGGACCUGCGUCCCAUCAGCUAGUUGGUAGGGUAGUGGCCUACCAAGGCGAUGACGGGUAGGGGACCUGAGAGGGUGGCCCCCCACAAUGGAACUGAAACACGGUCCAUACACCUACGGGUGGCAGCAGUAGGGAAUAUUGGUUAAUGGGCGAAAGCCUGACCCAGCAACGCCGCGUGAACGAUGAAGGCCUUCGGGUCGUAAAGUUCUUUUUACAGGGAUGAGGAAGGACAGUACCUGUAGAAUAAGUCUCGGCUAACUACGUGCCAGCAGCCGCGGUAACACGUAGGAGACGAGCGUUAUCCGGAUUUACUGGGUGUAAAGCGCGUGCAGGCGGUAUGGUAAGUUGGAUGUGAAAGCUCCUGGCUUAACUGGGAGAGGUCGUACAAGACUGCCAAACUAGAGGACAGCAGAGGGGAGUGGAAUUCCGAGUGUAGCGGUAAAAUGCAUAGAUAUUCGGAAGAACACCAGUGGCGAAGGCGGCUCUCUGGGCUGUACCUGACGCUCAGACGCGAAAGCUAGGGUAGCAAACGGGAUUAGAGACCCCGGUAGUCCUAGCCGUAAACGAUGUGAACUUGGCGUAGGUGGGUUCAAAUCCAUCUGUGCCGAAGCAAACGCGAUAAGUUCACCACCUGGGGACUACGGCCGCAAGGUUAAAACUCAAAGGAAUUGACGGGGGCCCGCACAAGCAGCGGAGCGUGUGGUUUAAUUCGAUAUUACACGCGAAGAACCUUACCUGGCCUUGACAUGCACGUGGUAGAAGUGUGAAAGCAUAACGACCCCGCAAGGGGAGCGUGCACAGGUGCUGCAUGGCUGUCGUCAGCUCGUGUCGUGAGAUGUUGGGUUAAGUCCCGCAACGAGCGCAACCCCUGUGUCCUGUUGCCACCCGGUCGAGAGACUGGAGCACUCUGGACAGACUGCCUCGCUUAAACGAGGAGGAAGGUGGGGAUGACGUCAAGUCAGUAUGGCCCUUACGGCCAGGGCUGCACACGUACUACAAUGCCCGGCACAAAGGGAAGCGAAAUCGCAAGGUGGAGCAAAUCCCCAAAAACCGGGCUCAGUUCAGAUUGUCGUCUGCAACUCGACGGCAUGAAGCUGGAAUCGCUAGUAAUGGCGCAUCAGCUACGGCGCCGUGAAUACGUUCCCAGGCCUUGUACACACCGCCCGUCACAUCAUGAAAGCCGGUUGUACCCGAAGUCACCGUGCCAACCCGCAAGGGAGGCAGGUGCCGAAGGUAUGGCUGGUGAUUGGGAUGAAGUCGUAACAAGGUA